GCCUCCCCGCCACUGGGAGUCCCGGCCCAGAGCCCAUUUGGCGGAGUGGGAGACUGAGGCCUCUGCGAGCCCGCCGGCGCUGAGGGGAAGCCCCGGGACCGCCCUGGCCGCCGCACCUGGCCUUGAGACACACCUUCAGUUUUCCAGUGAUUAUACAAAUCUUCAUGUUCUCUCGGAAAAGGGCAUACUAUCUCUGGAGGCAGGGCAGUGCGUGUCCCAGGGCCACCACUGCAAGGGCCUGCAGCAGGACAGUGCCCGGUCACACACCCUGGCCCUCCCACGGUGGAAAACAAUGAGAAAUAAAAGCAGCAACAGAGUUU
This is a long non-coding RNA of Suricata suricatta (meerkat), 320 nucleotides long. RefSeq lists it as uncharacterized. Lineage: Eukaryota; Metazoa; Chordata; Mammalia; Carnivora; Herpestidae. The record is from RefSeq and is a predicted model, not a curated record. The transcript has 2 exons.